RNAcentral lists this long non-coding RNA (563 nucleotides) under Olea europaea (common olive). RNAcentral describes it as "long non-coding RNA (OEUR_LNC014977)". The record is from RNAcentral. Lineage: Eukaryota; Viridiplantae; Streptophyta; Magnoliopsida; Lamiales; Oleaceae.
UAACUUCUUCUAUAAGAUUGUUAAUUACUUGAACAAUGUAUCAUUCUAAUUUAUUCUACUUUUGAGAAUGCUGUUGAUUCUAGAAAAUUACUAGUCAACUGUUACAGGGACAUCUGUAUUUGUAUAUAUAGAUGUAUAUUUGUGUGCACCCUUAAUCUGUCUCCUGUGUCCGUUUAAUCUGAUGAGCUUAAUGGCAUUCUCAGUAACCUCAAAGCAUUGGUUUUUGGCUACAGUUUUGGUGUACAUCUUUGUUUUAUUGUGGGAAUCAGGUAUGCAUUCGACAACUGUUCGUGCAUGUUCAGUACGAUUACUUUUUCAGUAGCGUCCACUACUAUCCAAUUGUCCCUACUAAAUAUGCAAUUGAUUGUUUUUUCAGGAAGAACAUUUUUAUUCAUUGGUGUUGAUGUUUCUAUUGAUACCUUUGACAGGGAAAGCAUACGAAGAUUUGACAGGGAAAGCAGACGAAGAUCACCCUCAUCUAGGUGCUGCUGGCGUAAUUGCAAAUGAAUACGUGCCUGGAGCAGAAGAUGAAGGAGGAGAAGGAGAAGGAGAAGUAGAAGGAG